This 122-nucleotide ribosomal RNA is filed under the name Catajapyx aquilonaris. Lineage: Eukaryota; Metazoa; Arthropoda; Diplura; Dicellurata; Japygidae. The record is from RNAcentral.
GCCAAGGGCCAUACCACGUUGAAAGCACCGGUUCUCGUCCGAUCCCCGAAGUGAAGCUACGCCGGGCCCGGGUAGUACUUGGAUGGGUGACCGCCUGGGAAUGCCGGGUGCACUUGGCCACU